This 717-nucleotide ribosomal RNA is filed under the name uncultured bacterium. RNAcentral's name for it is "bacterial SSU rRNA". It matches the Rfam family "Bacterial small subunit ribosomal RNA", at positions 60 to 777 of the family's 1533-position model. The record is from RNAcentral.
AGUCGAGCGAAGCGCUUAUGAAAGAUUCUUCGGAUGAAUUCAUUUGUGACUGAGCGGCGGACGGGUGAGUAACGCGUGGGUAACCUGCCUUAUACAGGGGGAUAACAGUUGGAAACGGCUGCUAAUACCGCAUAAGCGCACAGCAUCGCAUGAUGCAGUGUGAAAAACUCCGGUGGUAUAAGAUGGACCCGCGUUGGAUUAGCUAGUUGGUGAGGUAACGGCCCACCAAGGCGACGAUCCAUAGCCGACCUGAGAGGGUGACCGGCCACAUUGGGACUGAGACACGGCCCAAACUCCUACGGGAGGCAGCAGUGGGGAAUAUUGCACAAUGGGCGAAAGCCUGAUGCAGCGACGCCGCGUGAGCGAAGAAGUAUUUCGGUAUGUAAAGCUCUAUCAGCAGGGAAGAUAAUGACGGUACCUGACUAAGAAGCACCGGCUAAAUACGUGCCAGCAGCCGCGGUAAUACGUAUGGUGCAAGCGUUAUCCGGAUUUACUGGGUGUAAAGGGAGCGCAGGCGGUGCGGCAAGUCUGAUGUGAAAGCCCGGGGCUCAACCCCGGUACUGCAUUGGAAACUGUCGUACUAGAGUGUCGGAGGGGUAAGCGGAAUUCCUAGUGUAGCGGUGAAAUGCGUAGAUAUUAGGAGGAACACCAGUGGCGAAGGCGGCUUACUGGACGAUAACUGACGCUGAGGCUCGAAAGCGUGGGGAGCAAACAGGA